CCUUCGGGUGGCAGCAGUGGGGAAUAUUGCACAAUGGGGGAAACCCUGAUGCAGCGACGCCGCGUGAGUGAAGAAGUAUUUCGGUAUGUAAAGCUCUAUCAGCAGGGAAGAAAUAAAGUCCUUCGGACUUUGCACGGUACCUGACUAAGAAGCCCCGGCUAACUACGUGCCAGCAGCCGCGGUAAUACGUAGGGGGCAAGCGUUAUCCGGAUUUACUGGGUGUAAAGGGAGCGUCGACGGCAGCGCAAGUCUGGAGUGAAAUACCAUGGCUUAACCAUGGAACUGCUUUGGAAACUGUGCAGCUGGAGUGCAGGAGAGGUAAGCGGAAUUCCUAGUGUAGCGGGGAAAUGCGUAGAUAUUAGGAGGAACACCAGUGGCGAAGGCGGCUUACUGGACUGUAACUGACGUUGAGGCUCGAAAGCGUGGGGAGCAAACAGGAUUAGAUACCCUGGUAGUC
Molecule: ribosomal RNA, 457 nt
Filed under: uncultured bacterium
Lineage: Bacteria
Description: partial 16S ribosomal RNA
Rfam family: Bacterial small subunit ribosomal RNA
Source: RNAcentral